UGCGUAGGCGGUUUGGUAAGUCAGAUGUGAAAUUCCUGGGCUCAACCGAGGAACUGCAUUUGAUACUGCCAGACUAGAGUACUGGAGAGGAGACUGGAAUUUACGGUGUAGCAGUGAAAUGCGUAGAUAUCGUAAGGAAGGCCAGUGGCGAAGGCGAGUCUCUGGACAGUAACUGACGCUGAGGCACGAAGGCUAGGGGAGCAAGCG
This 207-nucleotide ribosomal RNA is filed under the name uncultured bacterium. Its description in RNAcentral is "partial 16S ribosomal RNA". It matches the Rfam family "Bacterial small subunit ribosomal RNA", at positions 568 to 774 of the family's 1533-position model. The record is from RNAcentral.